UAAAUUAAAUAAAAAAUAGGUUCAAAAAAUAAAAACGUUAAUUUUAACGACGAUAACGCUUCUAGCUGAACCCUAAACCUUAAAUUUUAAAUUCUAAACCAUAUACCCUAAAUUCUAAACCCAAAUCCAAAUUCAUAAACCCAAACCCUAUACCCUAAACCCAAAUCCAAACCCAUAAACCCAAAUUAUAUACCCUAAACCCAAAAACAAAACUAUAAACCUAAACUUUAUACCCUAAACCAAGUUCUAGACCCUAAACCCAAACCGUAAACCUUAAACCCAAAUUAUAUAUCCUAAACCCAAAACUUUAACCAUAAAUCCAAACGGUAAAUCAUAAACCCAAACCGUAAAUCCUAAACUCAAAACCUAUACCCUAAACUCAAAUCCUAGACCCA
Molecule: long non-coding RNA, 395 nt
Filed under: Brassica napus (rape)
Lineage: Eukaryota; Viridiplantae; Streptophyta; Magnoliopsida; Brassicales; Brassicaceae
Description: long non-coding RNA (BNAP_LNC018879)
Source: RNAcentral